Molecule: ribosomal RNA, 207 nt
Filed under: uncultured bacterium
Lineage: Bacteria
Description: partial 16S ribosomal RNA
Rfam family: Bacterial small subunit ribosomal RNA
Source: RNAcentral
CGCGUAGGCGGGAUGGCAAGUCGGUCGUGAAAUCCUUCGGCUCAACCGAAGAACGUCGAUCGAUACUGCCGUUCUAGAGGAUUGCAGAGGAGACUGGAAUUCCCGGUGUAGCGGUGAAAUGUGUAGAGAUCGGGAGGAACACCGGUGGCGAAGGCGGGUCUCUGGGCAAUUCCUGACGCUGAGGCGCGAAAGCGUGGGGAGCAAACG